UGAUAUGAUAUACUGAUUGAAAUAUCAAUAUUAUAAGUGAUAGGUCUUUUAUAAGAGAUUAAAUUAGAUUGCUUAGCGGUAAUCAGCGGUAAAAGCAAGUUUCCUGACUCAAACUUGAGUUGUUAUUUUUCAAGCAUGUUAGUGGAUAAUUAUUGUUGAUUAUUCCACAUCUAUAGUUAUUAUUGAAUAUUCGUAUUUAUUGCAAGUUCCCUAAUUCAAAUUCGAGUUGUUAUUUUUCAAGCAUGUUAGUGGAUAAUUAUUGUUGAUUAUUCCACAUCUAUGGUUAUUAUUGAAUAUUCGCAUUUAUUGCAAGUUCCCUAACUCAAACUCGAUUUGUUAUUUUUCAAGCAUGUUAGUAGAUAAUUAUUGUUGAUUAUUCCACAUUUAUGAUUAUUAUUGAAUAUUCGCAUUUAUUGCAAGUUUUCUAACUCUAACUCGAGUUAUUAUGUUUCAAACAUGUUAGUGGUUUAAUUCUUGACAAUUAUUCUACAUCUAUGAUUAUUAAUUCGCACUUUGUGAAUGUUUUACAUGUUUAUCAGGUAUGAAAAGUUGAUCACCUUGAUUACCAUAAGGUUCACUUAAAUAUUUUCGUGGUCAUUGAUGACAACUCAACUUAUUGACUCAGUCAUUCAAUUAUUAAAACUUGAUUCUCAAUCUUUCACAAUUAUUAUACGUUGUUGAAAACUUGAAAGCUUACUCAUUUUCAAUCAUGAUAUAUCUUUAUUGUACUUAAACUUACUUGGAAAAAUAGUUACUCACCCUUGAUAUAUCAUGAUAACAUUUUUAGAUUAAAACGAAGGUUCGAAGAAAGACGAAGACGAG
Molecule: long non-coding RNA, 822 nt
Filed under: Panax ginseng (ginseng)
Lineage: Eukaryota; Viridiplantae; Streptophyta; Magnoliopsida; Apiales; Araliaceae
Description: long non-coding RNA (PGIN_LNC005868)
Source: RNAcentral